This 1552-nucleotide long non-coding RNA is filed under the name Paramuricea clavata. Lineage: Eukaryota; Metazoa; Cnidaria; Anthozoa; Malacalcyonacea; Plexauridae. The record is from RNAcentral.
UAUAUGUCUAAUCUUCAACCAGAUGAGAUACGCCCAGUUUUUAUGAAUUAUUCGAUAUAGUUUUACGUAUUAAAAGUAGAACGUAAACUGUUAACAAUUGAAACAACUUAAGAAGAAUUUGUCUUGCAUGCCUUUGAAUAGAAUAUUGCCUUUGAAUAGAAUAUUACCUUUGAAUUGAGUAGACUUUGAGAGAACUUACCUUUGAAUUUCACCAGAAAAACAGCUUGCAACCUUGACCGUGGACGUGGUUAAAAUCAGACAGAUCACAAUAUUUCAGCUGUAUUUAAAUUAUUGAAGGCAGGAAGACAAUAUAUAUUUAUGGUAUUACGUGAUGUCACCAAUUUCUUAUUGGUUAAUACGCUUGCACCACCCCCACUUAAUAUUAGCAAUUAACCAAUGCAUUACGUGCUAUUGUUACGAGGUCGGUUGUUGGGGAUUAUAGGCUUGCGCGAGGGCCUUGUAAAGUCGGUAAUCUAGAACGGAAUCUUUGAAUACUGAAGCCAACAAAGAUUAAUGCUACAACACAAUUGUCUCAACAGAUAGACUUUAUUCGACACAGAAAUGGUAGUUGGAGCUGGGGAUAAAGGGUAAAACGCGGGAAAAAGGGUAAAACGCGGAAAAAAGGUAAAACGAGGAAAGAAAGGGUGAAACGCGAAAAAAAAGAUGAAACGCGGAAAAAAGAUGAAACGUGGAAAAAAAGGUGAAACGCGAAAAAAAGUAAAACGCGGAAAAAAGGAUAAAAUGCGGAAAAAAGGGUAAAACGCCGAAAAUAGUGUUUGCCAACCCAAUCAUGACUUUUUCCUAGCCUUCGCCCUCCUUCUCUGGAGCCGUUACGUACACAGGCUAACUUUUUCCCGCUGACUUUUAAAAUAUAUUUAAGGCAGAGUAGCGCUUGCUGAGCUAUGUGUUUUAAGACCUUGCACUUACAGUUUAUCGAAGCCAAACUUUGUUUUUGUUAAUAAAAUCAAAUUUAAUCUAAUUAAAUACCAUAAAAAUAAUCAUACGCCCACCGACUAAAUAACAGUCAUAAACACCUACUAUGUAAAGGCUGUGUUAAUACAGAGUGUAUCUAAAAGUCGAGGGUCGAGAGUCGAGAGUAAAGGUCGAGAGUCGAGAGUAAAAGUCGAGAGUCGAGAGUAAAAGUCGAGAGUCGAGAGUAAAAGUCGAGAGUCGAGAGUAAAAAGUCGAGAGUCGAGAGUAAAAAGUCGAGAGUCGAUCGAGAGUAAAAAGUCGAGAGUCGGCAAAUGUCAUCAGAAACAACAAAGUCAAAAUACUUUUACAGUAACACAAUAUAUAAGCGAUCCGUAACAACGGCUGAUUAUAGCCGUACGGGCGAGGGGGGGGGGGAGGCAGUCCCGCACCCCAGUCAAAAUAAAUUCGGCCAAAAAUUGGGGGAAAUAAAUUUAAAAAGAAGACAGUAUAUGCAAUAUGGUAUUUGAAAAUACCAGAAAUAUGUAAAAGUAACGAGGAAUCGACAAAUAGGAAAAUAUUUUUGUCUACUUCCCAACGACAAUUUUGGAAAUUUAGUUACACGGAAAAUUUUAUUCAGUGG